AGGAAAGAGAAAGUAUUAAAAACUUUUGUUUCCGCUUUUGAUUGAAUUUGUGGACAAAAUAUGAAAGCAGAUUUGUGUGUCUUUGUUGUUCUAAGCACAGUUUACUUGCUGUCAAGCUGUGUCCACGCUGGCGAUAAAAUGCCGUCCCAUAUUGUAGUAUGUGCAUCAGAUCACAACACAUACGUCAGUAUACGUUUGAUGAGAAAAACUGCUCGUGACUUCAAUCAAAAGAUUACGAUUGUUCAUAAGGGAUCUUGCGAUCCAAAAUGUGCACAAGUUUGCUCACUAGAGUUGAAUCCUCAAUGUGGUACAGACGGCGAGACGUAUCCUAAUCCGUGUUCCUUUAAAAUUGCUCAAUGUGAAAGUGAUGGAGGAAUUAGACUGGCCCAUCAUGGACCGUGUGUGGAUGGAAAAUGAAAAGUAAACAAGAUUGAAGAAGAUUUGAUGUCAUAUGUUUAGUACAAUUGAUGUGUAGUUUUUGAAGCAUGCUGUAAUCUUUCGUUUGUUA
Molecule: unclassified non-coding RNA, 508 nt
Filed under: Dendronephthya gigantea
Lineage: Eukaryota; Metazoa; Cnidaria; Anthozoa; Malacalcyonacea; Nephtheidae
Description: four-domain proteases inhibitor-like, transcript variant X6
Source: RNAcentral